RNAcentral lists this ribosomal RNA (1473 nucleotides) under uncultured organism. Its description in RNAcentral is "SSU rRNA". It matches the Rfam family "Bacterial small subunit ribosomal RNA". The record is from RNAcentral.
GACGAACGCUGGCGGCGUGCCUAAUACAUGCAAGUAGAACGCUGAAGAGAGGAGCUUGCUCUUCUUGGAUGAGUUGCGAACGGGUGAGUAACGCGUAGGUAACCUGCCUUGUAGCGGGGGAUAACUAUUGGAAACGAUAGCUAAUACCGCAUAACAAUGGAUGACACAUGUCAUUUAUUUGAAAGGGGCAAUUGUUCCACUACAAGAUGGACCUGCGUUGUAUUAGCUAGUAGGUGAGGUAAUGGCUCACCUAGGCGACGAUACAUAGCCGACCUGAGAGGGUGAUCGGCCACACUGGGACUGAGACACGGCCCAGACUCCUACGGGAGGCAGCAGUAGGGAAUCUUCGGCAAUGGGGGCAACCCUGACCGAGCAACGCCGCGUGAGUGAAGAAGGUUUUCGGAUCGUAAAGCUCUGUUGUAAGUCAAGAACGGGUGUGAGAGUGGAAAGUUCACACUAUGACGGUAGCUUACCAGAAAGGGACGGCUAACUACGUGCCAGCAGCCGCGGUAAUACGUAGGUCCCGAGCGUUGUCCGGAUUUAUUGGGCGUAAAGCGAGCGCAGGCGGUUUGAUAAGUCUGAAGUUAAAGGCUGUGGCUCAACCAUAGUUCGCUUUGGAAACUGUCAAACUUGAGUGCAGAAGGGGAGAGUGGAAUUCCAUGUGUAGCGGUGAAAUGCGUAGAUAUAUGGAGGAACACCGGUGGCGAAAGCGGCUCUCUUGGUCUGUAACUGACGCUGAGGCUCGAAAGCGUGGGGAGCGAACAGGAUUUAGAUACCCUGGUAGUCCACGCCGUAAACGAUGAGUGCUAGGUGUUGGAUCCUUUCCGGGAUUCAGUGCCGCAGCUAACGCAUUAAGCACUCCGCCUGGGGAGUACGACCGCAAGGUUGAAACUCAAAGGAAUUGACGGGGGCCCGCACAAGCGGUGGAGCAUGUGGUUUAAUUCGAAGCAACGCGAGGAACCUUACCAGGUCUUGACAUCCCGAUGCUAUUUCUAGAGAUAGAAAGUUACUUCGGUACAUCGGUGACAGGUGGUGCAUGGUUGUCGUCAGCUCGUGUCGUGAGAUGUUGGGUUAAGUCCCGCAACGAGCGCAACCCCUAUUGUUAGUUGCCAUCAUUCAGUUGGGCACUCUAGCGAGACUGCCGGUAAUAAACCGGAGGAAGGUGGGGAUGACGUCAAAUCAUCAUGCCCCUUAUGACCUGGGCUACACACGUGCUACAAUGGUUGGUACAACGAGUUGCGAGUCGGUGACGGCGAGCUAAUCUCUUAAAGCCGAUCUCAGUUCGGAUUGUAGGCUGCAACUCGCCUACAUGAAGUCGGAAUCGCUAGUAAUCGCGGAUCAGCACGCCGCGGUGAAUACGUUCCCGGGCCUUGUACACACCGCCCGUCACACCACGAGAGUUUGUAACACCCGAAGUCGGUGAGGUAACCUUUUGGAGCCAGCCGCCUAAGGUGGGACAGAUGAUUGGGGUGA